UGUCAAACACUGUUGCUGCGUCUCCAUCUGGAUUCUCUGCUGGCCUGUACUGAUGCAAUCAAAGGUAUGUUUUAAUAUUUUCCUUCAUGAACAAACAGAACUGAACCAACAGCAUGUAGAAUAGAGAUGAUACGUAGAAAAGUUACACAUGUUGGUAACCAACUAGGAGAAACUUAACAACAUAUGAUUGUACCGAAAUAUAAUAAAAUGGACAUUAUAUAAUAUAGCAUGCACUAAACUGUGUAAUUAUUCUUCAGCAAAUGAGACAUUUAACCAAGAUCUUUAUAACCAAUAACUAUAAGAAACGAAACUAGAUGUCCUCAGCAAAGUAAGAUUUGAU
Molecule: long non-coding RNA, 340 nt
Filed under: Helianthus annuus (common sunflower)
Lineage: Eukaryota; Viridiplantae; Streptophyta; Magnoliopsida; Asterales; Asteraceae
Description: sRNA HanXRQr2_Chr15g0678881
Source: RNAcentral